GGGUGAGUAACACGUGGGUAACCUACCUAUAAGACUGGAAUAACUCCGGGAAACCGGGGCUAAUGCCGGAUAACAUUUAGAACCGCAUGGUUCUAAAGUGAAAGAUGGUUUUGCUAUCACUUAUAGAUGGACCCGCGCCGUAUUAGCUAGUUGGUAAGGUAACGGCUUACCAAGGCAACGAUACGUAGCCGACCUGAGAGGGUGAUCGGCCACACUGGAACUGAGACACGGUCCAGACUCCUACGGGAGGCAGCAGUAGGGAAUCUUCCGCAAUGGGCGAAAGCCUGACGGAGCAACGCCGCGUGAGUGAUGAAGGUCUUCGGAUCGUAAAACUCUGUUAUUAGGGAAGAACAAAUGUGUAAGUAACUGUGCACGUCUUGACGGUACCUAAUCAGAAAGCCACGGCUAACUACGUGCCAGCAGCCGCGGUAAUACGUAGGUGGCAAGCGUUAUCCGGAAUUAUUGGGCGUAAAGCGCGCGUAGGCGGUUUCUUAAGUCUGAUGUGAAAGCCCACGGCUCAACCGUGGAGGGUCAUUGGAAACUGGGAAACUUGAGUGCAGAAGAGGAAAGUGGAAUUCCAUGUGUAGCGGUGAAAUGCGCAGAGAUAUGGAGGAACACCAGUGGCGAAGGCGACUUUCUGGUCUGUAACUGACGCUGAUGUGCGAAAGCGUGGGGAUCAAACAGGAUUAGAUACCCUGGUAGUCCACGCCGUAAACGAUGAGUGCUAAGUGUUAGGGGGUUU
RNAcentral lists this ribosomal RNA (742 nucleotides) under Staphylococcus sp. RNAcentral describes it as "bacterial SSU rRNA". It matches the Rfam family "Bacterial small subunit ribosomal RNA", at positions 104 to 833 of the family's 1533-position model. The record is from RNAcentral. Lineage: Bacteria; Bacillati; Bacillota; Bacilli; Caryophanales; Staphylococcaceae.